ACGAACGCUGGCGGCGUGCUUAACACAUGCCAGUCGAACGGAAAGGCCCUGCUUUUGUGGGGUGCUCGAGUGGCGAACGGGUGAGUAACACGUGAGUAACCUGCCCUUGACUUUGGGAUAACUUCAGGAAACUGGGGCUAAUAUCGGAUAGGAGCUCCUGCUGCAUGGUGGGGGUUGGAAAGUUUCGGCGGUUGGGGAUGGACUCGCGGCUUAUCAGCUUGUUGGUGGGGUAGUGGCUUACCAAGGCGUUGACGGGUAGCCGGCCUGAGAGGGUGACCGGCCACAUUGGGACUGAGAUACGGCCCAGACUCCUACGGGAGGCAGCAGUGGGGAAUAUUGCACAAUGGGCGGAAGCCUGAUGCAGCAACGCCGCGUGCGGGAUGACGGCCUUCGGGUUGUAAACCGCUUUCGCCUGUGACGAAGCGUGAGUGACGGUAAUGGGUAAAGAAGCACCGGCUAACUACGUG
Molecule: ribosomal RNA, 467 nt
Filed under: uncultured bacterium
Lineage: Bacteria
Description: partial 16S ribosomal RNA
Rfam family: Bacterial small subunit ribosomal RNA
Source: RNAcentral